RNAcentral lists this ribosomal RNA (450 nucleotides) under uncultured bacterium. RNAcentral describes it as "partial 16S ribosomal RNA". It matches the Rfam family "Bacterial small subunit ribosomal RNA", at positions 354 to 796 of the family's 1533-position model. The record is from RNAcentral.
GUGGGGAAUCUUCCGCAAUGGACGAAAGUCUGACGGAGCGACGCCGCGUGAGUGAAGAAGGCCUUCGGGUCGUAAAGCUCUGUCAUCAGGGACGAACGGCCGGUGGAGUGGAAAGCCACCGGAUUGACGGUACCUGAGAAGGAAGCCCCGGCUAACUCCGUGCCAGCAGCCGCGGUAAUACGGAGGGGGCUAGCGUUGUUCGGAAUUAUUGGGCGUAAAGCGCGCGCAGGUGGGAUCUUAAGUCCAUUUUGAAAGUUCGGAGCUCAACUCCGUGAUGGGAUGGAAACUGGGAUUCUUGAGUACCGGAGAGGAAAGCGGAAUUCCCCGUGUAGCGGUGAAAUGCGUAGAUAUGGGGAGGAACACCAGUGGCGAAGGCGGCUUUCUGGACGGUGUCUGACACUGAGGCGCGAAAGCUAGGGGAGCGAACGGGAUUAGAAACCCGAGUAGUCC